Molecule: ribosomal RNA, 418 nt
Filed under: uncultured bacterium
Lineage: Bacteria
Description: bacterial SSU rRNA
Rfam family: Bacterial small subunit ribosomal RNA
Source: RNAcentral
AUGGGAACGCGAAGAACCUUACCUAGACUUGACAUCUCCUGAAUAGUGUAGAGAUACAUGAAGCCCUUCGGGCGAGGAAGACAGGUGGUGCAUGGUUGUCGUCAGCUCGUGUCGUGAGAUGUUGGGUUAAGUCCCGCAACGAGCGCAACCCUUAUUACUAGUUGCUACCAUUAAGUUGAGCACUCUAGUGAGACUGCCCGGGGUUAACCGGGAGGAAGGCGGGAGUGACGUCAAAUCAUCAUGCCCCUUAUGUCUAGGGCAACACACGUGCUACAAUGGUGAGUACAGAUAGAUGCGAUACCGCAAGGUGGAGCCAAACUCUAAAACUCAUCCCAGUUCGGAUUGUAGGCUGCAACUCGCCUACAUGAAAGUUGGAGUUGCUAGUAAUCGCGAAUCAGAAUGUCGCGGUGAAUACGUU